GGACCCGCACAAGCGGUGGAGCAUGUGGUUUAAUUCGAUGCAACGCGAAAAACCUUACCUAUACUUGACAUACUUGGAAUGCUUUGUAAUGAAGCAGUGCCUUCGGGAGCCAGGAUACAGGUGCUGCAUGGCUGUCGUCAGCUCGUGUCGUGAGAUGUUCCGUUAAGUCGGAUAACGAGCGCAACCCUUACCCUUAUUUGCCAGCGAUUCGGUCGGGAACUAUAAGGGGACUGCCGGUGAUAAACCGGAGGAAGGUGAGGACGACGUCAAGUCAUCAUGGCCCUUACGUAUAGGGCUACACACGUGCUACAAUGGGGAAUACAGACGGACGCUAAGCCGCGAGGUGGUGCUAAUCCUAGAAAAUUCUUCGUAGUCCGGAUUGGAGUCUGCAACUCGACUCCAUGAAGUCGGAAUCGCUAGUAAUCG
Molecule: ribosomal RNA, 426 nt
Filed under: uncultured bacterium
Lineage: Bacteria
Description: bacterial SSU rRNA
Rfam family: Bacterial small subunit ribosomal RNA
Source: RNAcentral